This 492-nucleotide ribosomal RNA is filed under the name uncultured bacterium. Its description in RNAcentral is "partial 16S ribosomal RNA". It matches the Rfam family "Bacterial small subunit ribosomal RNA", at positions 29 to 507 of the family's 1533-position model. The record is from RNAcentral.
AGUGAACGCUGGCGGUAGGCCUAACACAUGCAAGUCGAACGGCAGCACAGUAAGAGCUUGCUCUUACGGGUGGCGAGUGGCGGACGGGUGAGGAAUACAUCGGAAUCUACUUUUUCGUGGGGGAUAACGUAGGGAAACUUACGCUAAUACCGCAUACGACCUACGGGUGAAAGCAGGGGAUCUUCGUACCUUGCUCGAUUGAAUGAGCCGAUGUCGGAUUAGCUAGUUGGCGGGGUAAAGGCCCACCAAGGCGACGAUCCGUAGCUGGUCUGAGAGGAUGAUCAGCCACACUGGAACUGAGACACGGUCCAGACUCCUACGGGAGGCAGCAGUGGGGAAUAUUGGACAAUGGGCGCAAGCCUGAUCCAGCCAUACCGCGUGGGUGAAGAAGGCCUUCGGGUUGUAAAGCCCUUUUGUUGGGAAAGAAAAGCAGCAGGUUAAUACCCCGCUGUUCUGACGGUACCCAAAGAAUAAGCACCGGCUAACUUCGUG